This 484-nucleotide ribosomal RNA is filed under the name uncultured bacterium. RNAcentral's name for it is "partial 16S ribosomal RNA". It matches the Rfam family "Bacterial small subunit ribosomal RNA", at positions 30 to 507 of the family's 1533-position model. The record is from RNAcentral.
AUUGAACGCUGGCGGCAGGCCUAACACAUGCAAGUCGAGCGGAUGAAGGGAGCUUGCUCCCGGAUUCAGCGGCGGACGGGCGAGUAAUGACUAGGAAUCUGACUGGUAGUGAGGGAUAACGUCCGGUCACGGGCGCUAAUACCGUACAGGUUCUGAGGGUGAAAGUGGGGGAUCUUCGGACCUCACGCUAUCAGAUGAGCCUAGGUCGGAUUAGCUAGUUGGUGGGGUAAAGGCCUACCAAGGCGACGAUCCGUAACUGGUCUGAGAGGAUGAUCAGUCACACUGGAACUGAGACACGGUCCAGACUCCUACGGGAGGCAGCAGUGGGGAAUAUUGGACAAUGGGCGAAAGCCUGAUCCAGCCAUGCCGCGUGUGUGAAGAAGGUCUUCGGAUUGUAAAGCACUUUAAGUUGGGAAGAAGGGCAGUAUGUGAAUACCUUGCUGUUUUGACGUUACCAACAGAAUAAGCCCCGGCUAACUUCGUG